RNAcentral lists this ribosomal RNA (253 nucleotides) under uncultured bacterium. Its description in RNAcentral is "partial 16S ribosomal RNA". It matches the Rfam family "Bacterial small subunit ribosomal RNA", at positions 524 to 776 of the family's 1533-position model. The record is from RNAcentral.
UACGUAGGGUGCGAGCGUUAAUCGGAAUUACUGGGCGUAAAGCGCACGUAGGCGGAUACUUAAGUCAGGGGUGAAAUCCCGGGGCUCAACCCCGGAACUGCCUUUGAUACUGGGUAUCUCGAGUCCGGAAGAGGUGAGUGGAAUUCCGAGUGUAGAGGUGAAAUUCGUAGAUAUUCGGAGGAACACCAGUGGCGAAGGCGGCGACCUGGUCCUUGACUGACGCUGAGGCGCGAAAGCGUGGGGAGCAAACAGG